This is a long non-coding RNA of Cavia porcellus (domestic guinea pig), 507 nucleotides long. RefSeq lists it as uncharacterized. Lineage: Eukaryota; Metazoa; Chordata; Mammalia; Rodentia; Caviidae. The transcript is spliced from 3 exons. The record is from RefSeq and is a predicted model, not a curated record.
GCUCCAUCUGGUAUCCAGUGAGCUGUGUGGUUUGUGCUGCACGACAGAAGCUCAAGUCCAGUUCACUGAGCGAACGGAGCUCAUAUCUGGGACCACGAAGACUUCCUAUCAGGCAUUUUCUUCUGACUGGGUGUUUGAAGACGCUUAUACAUUACUAGAAGGAGACCAGGCGACAGCCGUGAAAACGGAAAUGUUCUCUUCCGAGCACUUCCCUUACCAAUGGAUGCUGUGUCGUAAGCAUGAGCUCAGGGGCUCAGAUGUUUAGAAAAACCAAUGUCUUCCAUCCAAGCUGGAGAGGACUGACCACACCCUGGAAAAGCUUCAAGCACAGUACUAUCCAAGAUUUUGAAACAAAACACUCUGGGCCAUUUACUGAGAUGAUUUUAAUUUGGAACUCACAACCACCGUGUAUGGUGUUGCAAACACCCUUCCGUGGUAAUCAACCCCUCUCAUCUUUUUACAAUGGCUUUGUGACUGGUUCGAAUAAAGAUAAUAAAAAUUAAAUGA